GAAAUCGAGUGAGGAAGUAGAUAAAAACGAAGAUACAAAGCCUCUCUUUAGCAUAUAUCAAAGCCAGAUCCAUACCUAAAUCGACCGAAAAUCUGCUUUAAGCCUGCUAGAGUUCUCUUCUUAUUCUAAUUCCAACUAGAGCUCUCUUCUUAUUCUAAUUCCAAACCUAAAUCGACCAAAAAUCGUCUUAAGCAUGUUACCAGAAAUGAAUACCCGUUUUUACUAAGUUUGAAUUACCUAAUCUCAGAAGAAUAUUGAGCUACAAAUACCUAGAAGAUUCAGAGAAGAUUCAGUCCAUGGAAGGUGAUAUUGGUGUUGAUAAAAUUGGAUUUCAGGUUGAUUGCUUCUAUGCGCUGCGGAGGAUCGAGCCUUCGUUCAUACCUUAUGUCGUUUUCGUCAAGCAAGGACUUUCUUCGUUUGUAGGCAUCUACUUGAAAUGUUCUUUCUGCGAUAAUAACAAUUACCAACAUACAUUUGCGAUUAUACAAAAGAUCAGGAUUUGUGUUGUCAAGGCAUGGAGUGUUAUCGUCCGCUCUUUUCCAAGGUUUAAUGCGUGAGGUAUGCAUUCACGAUGAAGUGUUACUCUCAGCUUUCUUUAAUCAGUUAUUCAAUAGUCCCAGUUAGUCUAUUACCAAAUUUGUCAGUUUUCGUUUGUGAGAUGCAAGAAAAAUUCAGGUCCUUACUGAAUUUUUGUAUCUUUCAUGACAUGGGUAUCAUGAUUUCAACCUGGAUAAUGGCCUAUACUGAGAAGAGUUGAGGUACCAUGUAGUUAUCAAUGAAGAUGGUAAUGGUAACAUGGUAUCUAAUUUUACCUUUUUUUGGUGUUGUUUUAAUCUGAUUUAGUUAUUGACUGUGUAAUUUCAGGGUCAUAAAUGGUAGUGGAGUACAGAAGUGUCUGGUAUCCAGCUUUGUGUGUAAUUGCGAAGGCGGAUGAGGAGAUGAGCAGGAAGGUCUAAUAAAGAAGCAAGAAUGAACAAAAGGAAAUGUGGAAGAAGAGUACUGGACAAAGAUGGUCGUUAUUAUGCGUCAUACAGGGAAAGGGAAAUACAAGAUAAACUGCAAUAUGGUGUUUGUGUUGGCUGAGGGUGGAGCCAUUUUCGAAGGAAAAUGCUUGAAAGCACUUAUUGUUGGUGCUGGUUUGGUUAGAAGCAGGUGCACCUUCAUCCCUAAAUCUCUUUUACUUACUACUGGUGGGAUAAAAAUUAGUAUGGAAGCUGUGAGAUAACAAGGAAUUCAAUGUAUCAUCCAGGAUUUCUCAUUCUACCAAGGUUCCAAACUAGAGAAUUGUCAAGUCUUUGGCAUUUAAGUUUUUUGUUACUGGUUAUGUUCAACAUAUUUUAUUCCUGAUAAGUCGCAUGAGUCAUUUUCAACAUCUGUAUUUCAGCUUUAGUUUUUUAUUUAUUUCCUUGAUGAUAUUAAAUGUUAGUGUUUUGAUUGAGAAUGGAAUUACUAUUUUAUUGGGGUGCAAAA
Long non-coding RNA from Papaver somniferum (opium poppy), 1470 nucleotides. RefSeq lists it as uncharacterized. The record is from RefSeq and is a predicted model, not a curated record. NCBI's taxonomy places the organism in Eukaryota, Viridiplantae, Streptophyta, Magnoliopsida, Ranunculales, Papaveraceae. The transcript has 10 exons.